AUGGAACGCCGGCGGCUGCAAGCUCGCCAAGACCACGACCUACCGGACGACGUGCUCGCCGACGUCCUCCGUGGGGUCCCGCCGCGCUGGCUCGCCGCGUCGCGGUGCGUCUGUAAGGCCUGGCGCCGCGUCAUCGACGAGCGCCGCCUCCUGCGCACGGACCUGCUCCCGCUCUCGCUCGCCGGCAUCUUCAUCCAGUUUGACUGCCACGCGUUCCCGGAGUUCAUCGCCCGCCCCUCUCGCGCCACGGUCAACACCAAGCUCGACUUCUUGCCGCCCCCGAAGUAUCCCUUUGAUGAGAUACGGCCGGGGUCGGGAUUUGACGACGAGUACUUCGUUCAUGACCACUGCAAUGGCCUCCUCUUGCUCCGCAACCAUGUGGUCAACCCUGCCACGCGACGCUGGGAUCCUUUGCCUCCAAUGAGGGACACCUAUUUAUUUUUAUUCAAAGAGUAUCUAGCCUUUGAUCCCACCGUGUCGCCGCACUAUCAGGUGUUCAGAGUCCCCUAUUUGCACGAGGAGAGCAUCUACAAGAGCAUGGUCGCCCGCGGUUCUGCCCAGUUAGACCCCUUGGUGGAGGAAUCCGAAUGGCCUCCAUCUACAUGCAUCAUGGAUGUUUUCUCAUCAAGGUCGGGUCGUUGGGAGGAGAGGUCUUUUGCUAGACAAGGUAAUGUUGCAGGGGACGUUGCCGAGGCACGACGCGAUCGCCAUUGCAGAUGGGAAUGGGCCAAAUGUGGACCCGCCUACUGGCAACAAGCACUCUACGUGCAUUGCCAGCCUAAUGUUGUCAUGAGGUUACAGCAGGAACAUCGCUACAUACACGGCUACACAUAG
This 834-nucleotide ribosomal RNA is filed under the name Triticum aestivum (bread wheat). Its description in RNAcentral is "partial small subunit ribosomal RNA". The record is from RNAcentral. Lineage: Eukaryota; Viridiplantae; Streptophyta; Magnoliopsida; Poales; Poaceae.